UACGAAGGGGGCUAGCGUUGCUCGGAAUCACUGGGCGUAAAGGGUGCGUAGGCGGUUGUUUAAGUUUGGUGUGAAAUCUCCCGGCUCAACUGGGAGGGUGCGCCGAAUACUGAAUGACUAGAGUGCGGGAGAGGAGAGUGGAAUUCCUGGUGUAGCGGUGAAAUGCGUAGAUAUCAGGAGGAACACCGGUGGUGUAGACGGCUCUCUGGACCGUAACUGACGCUGAGGCACGAAAGCGUGGGUAGCAAGCAGG
RNAcentral lists this ribosomal RNA (253 nucleotides) under uncultured bacterium. Its description in RNAcentral is "partial 16S ribosomal RNA". It matches the Rfam family "Bacterial small subunit ribosomal RNA", at positions 524 to 776 of the family's 1533-position model. The record is from RNAcentral.